Molecule: ribosomal RNA, 950 nt
Filed under: uncultured archaeon
Lineage: Archaea
Description: partial 16S rRNA
Rfam family: Archaeal small subunit ribosomal RNA
Source: RNAcentral
UUCCGGUUGAUCCUGCCGGACCCGACUGCUAUUUGGGUGAGAAUAAGCCAUGCGAGUUGAAUGGGAUACCUAAAGUUCCCAUAGCAAACUGCUCAGUAACACAUGAUCAACUUACCCUAUAGAGAAAAAUAACCUCGGGAAACUGAGGAUAAUGUUUCAUAAUUGAAUUGGCUUGGAAAAGUUUUUCAAUGAAAGGAUAAAAAAAAUGGUUUUUAUCUGCUAUAGGAUAGGAUCGUGUUCGAUUAUGGUUGUUGGUGAGAUAAUGGCUCACCAAGCCGAUAAUCGAUAGGGGCCGUGAGAGCGGGAGCCCCGAGAUGGGUACUGAGACAACGACCCAGGCCUUACGAGGCGCAGCAGGCGCGGAACCUCCGCAAUACACGAAAGUGUGACGGGGUUACCCAAAGUGUUCAAUAGAACUGUGGUAGGUGAGUAAUGUUCCCUACUAGAAAGGAGAGGGCAAGGCUGGUGCCAGCCGCCGCGGUAAAACCAGCUCUUCAAGUGGUCGGGAUAAUUAUUGGGCUUAAAGUGUCCGUAGCCGGUUUAGUAAGUUCCUGGUAAAAUCGGGUAGCUUAACUAUCUGCAUGCUAGGAAUACUGCUAUACUAGAGGGCGGGAGAGGUCUGAGGUACUACAGGGGUAGGGGUGAAAUCUUAUAAUCCUUGUAGGACCACCAGUGGCGAAGGCGUCAGACUGGAACGCGCCUGACGGUGAGGGACGAAAGCCAGGGGAGCGAACCGGAUUAGAUACCCGGGUAGUCCUGGCCGUAAACGAUGCAUACUAGGUGAUGGUACGGCCAUGAGCCGUAUCAGUGCCGUAGGGAAACCGUUAAGUGUGCCGCCUGGGAAGUACGGUCGCAGGGCUAAAACUUAAAGGAAUUGGCGGGGGAGCACCACAAGGGGUGAAGCCUGCGGUUCAAUUGGAUUCAACGCCGGGAAUCACUAGUGCGGCCGC